RNAcentral lists this transfer RNA (84 nucleotides) under Symbiodinium sp. CCMP2592. It matches the Rfam family "tRNA". Rfam says of the family: Transfer RNA (tRNA) molecules are approximately 80 nucleotides in length. Their secondary structure includes four short double-helical elements and three loops (D, anti-codon, and T loops). RNAcentral also lists the same sequence under 2 other names. Lineage: Eukaryota; Dinophyceae; Suessiales; Symbiodiniaceae. The record is from Rfam by way of RNAcentral.
GGGCCUGUGGCGGAAUCGGCAGACGCAGCGGACUUAAAAUCCGCCGGGGUAAAACCCAUGAGGGUUCAAGUCCCUCCAGGCCCA